RNAcentral lists this ribosomal RNA (484 nucleotides) under uncultured bacterium. RNAcentral's name for it is "partial 16S ribosomal RNA". It matches the Rfam family "Bacterial small subunit ribosomal RNA", at positions 30 to 507 of the family's 1533-position model. The record is from RNAcentral.
AUUGAACGCUGGCGGCAGGCCUAACACAUGCAAGUCGAGCGGAUGAAGGGAGCUUGCUCCUGGAUUCAGCGGCGGGCGGGUGAGUAAUGCCUAGGAAUCUGCCUGGUAGUGGGGGAUAACGUCCGGAAACGGGCGCUAAUACCGCAUACGUCCUGAGGGAGAAAGUGGGGGAUCUUCGGACCUCACGCUAUCAGAUGAGCCUAGGUCGGAUUAGCUAGUUGGUGGGGUAAAGGACUACCAAGGCGACGAUCCGUAACUGGUCUGAGAGGAUGAUCAGUCACACUGGAACUGAGACACGGUCCAGACUCCUACGGGAGGCAGCAGUGGGGAAUAUUGGACAAUGGGCGAAAGCCUGAUCCAGCCAUGCCGCGUGUGUGAAGAAGGUCUUCGGAUUGUAAAGCACUUUAAGUUGGGAGGAAGGGCAGUAAGUUAAUACCUUGCUGUUUUGACGUUACCAACAGAAUAAGCACCGGCUAACUUCGUG